Molecule: long non-coding RNA, 1734 nt
Filed under: Marmota monax (woodchuck)
Lineage: Eukaryota; Metazoa; Chordata; Mammalia; Rodentia; Sciuridae
Source: RNAcentral
CUUGAGGAAGGAGGGCUGUCUCCAAGUUUGUGUUGUUACUGAAACCUCCUGUACUAUUGCUGUCCCAAACAUUCAUCUGCAUAUCUGUUUAACAGGAAAAUGGGCAGAAAGCAGCCAAACCUCAGGCCUGGCCACGGCCCCUGUUCCAGCCCAGCCUGGGAAAAUGGCUGGUGGGGCUCUGUCCAAGGGCCCCAGGGCCCUGCAGGAGGCUCCUUGACCAUUGAACCCUGCUGUCCAGGGGAGAAGGAACUGGCCAGGUCCUAGCAGCUGCUGAGGUGAAUGAGUCUCUGGACUUUGGAAGUGGGUAUGGCUAGCAGGGUUAGAAGCCUACCUUCUGUGUCUGUGUGAAGAUCUUUCUAAAGGACUGAUCUUCCUACAGGAAGUAGAGGGGAGGCCAAGGAUGUGGCCUUCCAAGAAGGAAGGUGCGCUAGGUGGGCCAAGCAACUGAAGGCCCAGUAUGGCUCAAACAUAUACCCGAGGCAAGGCUGAGAUGAGAGGCCUUCCCGUCUCUGAGAGUGUGGUGGACAAAAUUGUAGUUCCCGGGUUCUUAACCUUGGCUUUCCAGAGACUCCCCUGGGUUGUUUCCCAAAAUCCUAAUACCCAAGCCCCUUCCCAGAUCAACAAAAUCAGGAUCUCAAGGGUGAGCCUCGGGUACCAGGCAUCAGAAUUUUUAAAAGACAUCUCAAGUGAUUCAAAGGUAACCCAGGGUGAGAAGCAGCCAAAGCUAUACUGUCAGAUAUGGUGGCUAUUUAAGCUUAAAUUUAUUAAAAUGAAAUGAGUAAGCAUUCAGUUCCUCAGCUGUACUAGCCACAUUUCAAGGCUUGACAGUCACAUGUGACUACCCUGUUGGACAGCACAAAAUGCAACAUUUGUAUCAUCACAGAAAUUGAUGGGACACCUAAGGGCUUGGGAGGCUGAGGCAGAUGGCUUGCAAGUUCAAAGCCAGCCUCAGCAAUUUAGCGAGGCCCUAGGCAACUUAGACUCUGUCUCUAAAUAAAAAAUUAAAAGGGCUGGGAAUGUGGCUCAGUGGUUGAUCAUCCCUGAGUUCAAUCCCUGGUACAAAUAAAGAGAAGAAAGAAAUUGAUGGGAGAGUGCUGCCCAAAUAACUAAGUCUCCUGAGUCCCUAGACUUAGGGGAUCGAGGUUAUAGAACUAGGAUUGGCACCAAUCAAACAUAGCCAGGAACCAAGUAUUCAGGGUCUCUGUUACCCCUUUCUAUGUGAUUGCCUUCCCCACCCGGUCCCUUACCAUUUUUCUUAAGCUAGCUCUUCCCUUUCCAUCCAAAACUCCUCAGAAAAGACUUUGAAGAAACUUACUCAUAUUCAGUCCUUCAAAACCCAACUCAAGGGGCUGCGGUUGUAGCUCAGCAGUAGAGCAUUUGCCUAGCAUGUGUGAGGCACUGGGUUUGAUCCUCAGUCCCACAUAAAAAUAAAUCAAUGAAACAAAGGUAUUGUGUCCAUCUAUAACUAAAAAAUAUAAAUAAAAAUAUUUUUCCAAAAAGUCUCCUCUGAGAAGCCUCCCUAGCCUGACUCAGGCUCCUGUGAUACGCCCAAGCUUAGCUGCUUCCUCCCCUAUGCUCCCAAAGACUUGGGAUCUGUUUAUCUGUCCAACUGUUCCACCAAAUCAUGAGUGGACUCUACCAGAAACUGCCGUGUCUCUCCUCACAAGCCAGUGCCUGAGAGUAGCUGGCAUACAGUAGGUGUGCCAUAAACGUGGAUCAAAUGGUUAGUACUGA